Molecule: unclassified non-coding RNA, 292 nt
Filed under: fungal sp.
Lineage: Eukaryota; Fungi
Description: partial internal transcribed spacer region
Rfam family: Eukaryotic small subunit ribosomal RNA (bases 1-46)
Source: RNAcentral
AAGUCGUAACAAGGUAUCCGUAGGUGAACCUGCGGAUGGAUCAUUAUCACGUUAUCCACGUAUCAACCAUUGUGAACUAGUACCUUUACCUUUGUUUUGAGAUGGAAUUGUAUGAAGGAAACUUUAUACGUUCUGUUUUAAAAACAAUUGUAUUUCAAUUCAUUUAUUAACUAUUUAAACAAUAUUUAAAUAAUUAACUAUUGAACUGAAACAUUCUUUACUCUCUUCGGGGAGAAAGAAUAAAAAUUACGAAACAUAAGAACAACUCUUAGCAACGGAUAUCUUGGUUCUC